RNAcentral lists this ribosomal RNA (497 nucleotides) under uncultured bacterium. RNAcentral describes it as "partial 16S ribosomal RNA". It matches the Rfam family "Bacterial small subunit ribosomal RNA", at positions 28 to 507 of the family's 1533-position model. The record is from RNAcentral.
GAUGAACGCUGGCGGCGUGCCUAAUACAUGCAAGUCGAGCGAACAGACGAGGAGCUUGCUCCUCUGACGUUAGCGGCGGACGGGUGAGUAACACGUGGAUAACCUACCUCUAAGACUGGGAUAACUUCGGGAAACCGGAGCUAAUACCGGAUAAUAUAUUGACCCGCAUGGUUCUAUAGUGAAAGACGGUUUUGCUGUCACUUAUAGAUGGAUCCGCGCCGCAUUAGCUAGUUGGUAAGGUAACGGAUUACCAAGGCAACGAUGCGUAGCCGAACUGAGAGGGUGAUCGGCCACACUGGAACUGAGACACGGCCCAGACGCCUACGGAAGGCACCAGGAGGGAAUCGUCCGGAAGGGGCGAAAGCCUGACGGAGCAACGCCGCAGGAGUGAUGAGGGUCUUCGGAUCGUAAAACUCUGUUAUUAGGGAAGAACAAAUUUGUAAGUAACAAGGCGCGUCUUGAAGGUACCUUGUCAGAGAGCCACGGCUAACUACGUG